This is a long non-coding RNA of Talpa occidentalis (Iberian mole), 353 nucleotides long. RefSeq lists it as uncharacterized. The transcript is spliced from 3 exons. NCBI's taxonomy places the organism in Eukaryota, Metazoa, Chordata, Mammalia, Eulipotyphla, Talpidae. The record is from RefSeq and is a predicted model, not a curated record.
AUGGGCCUAACUAGGGCUCUUCCUGAUCCUUCCAUUUAUGAAGUUCAGUUUUAAUCAGCAGCCUUCUUAGCUUGACAUUUUAUAUCUUUCCUGAUCUGUGUCCAAUCUGCUUUUUUGACCAUCUUUUUCCUAAGAAACAAUGAUAAUGAAACAGAGCUAAGCUGGGUGGGGGACAAGAGGAAGACCCAGUUGGUAGGUCCUCACUUGCAUGCUUAAGAUUGCAGGACACAACCCCAAAGCAGGCACUGUUCAAAAGUUGGAGGAAAAACUUGCGGGAACAUGAUCCUUGUACAUUAGCAACUCCUGUUCAAGUAGAUUGUUCUUAUGUGUGGACCUUGAAGUGAGAAGAAAUG